RNAcentral lists this ribosomal RNA (2904 nucleotides) under Escherichia coli. Its description in RNAcentral is "23S ribosomal RNA". It matches the Rfam family "Bacterial large subunit ribosomal RNA". Lineage: Bacteria; Pseudomonadati; Pseudomonadota; Gammaproteobacteria; Enterobacterales; Enterobacteriaceae. The record is from RNAcentral.
GGUUAAGCGACUAAGCGUACACGGUGGAUGCCCUGGCAGUCAGAGGCGAUGAAGGACGUGCUAAUCUGCGAUAAGCGUCGGUAAGGUGAUAUGAACCGUUAUAACCGGCGAUUUCCGAAUGGGGAAACCCAGUGUGUUUCGACACACUAUCAUUAACUGAAUCCAUAGGUUAAUGAGGCGAACCGGGGGAACUGAAACAUCUAAGUACCCCGAGGAAAAGAAAUCAACCGAGAUUCCCCCAGUAGCGGCGAGCGAACGGGGAGCAGCCCAGAGCCUGAAUCAGUGUGUGUGUUAGUGGAAGCGUCUGGAAAGGCGCGCGAUACAGGGUGACAGCCCCGUACACAAAAAUGCACAUAUUGUGAGCUCGAUGAGUAGGGCGGGACACGUGGUAUCCUGUCUGAAUAUGGGGGGACCAUCCUCCAAGGCUAAAUACUCCUGACUGACCGAUAGUGAACCAGUACCGUGAGGGAAAGGCGAAAAGAACCCCGGCGAGGGGAGUGAAAAAGAACCUGAAACCGUGUACGUACAAGCAGUGGGAGCACGCUUAGGCGUGUGACUGCGUACCUUUUGUAUAAUGGGUCAGCGACUUAUAUUCUGUAGCAAGGUUAACCGAAUAGGGGAGCCGAAGGGAAACCGAGUCUUAACUGGGCGUUAAGUUGCAGGGUAUAGACCCGAAACCCGGUGAUCUAGCCAUGGGCAGGUUGAAGGUUGGGUAACACUAACUGGAGGACCGAACCGACUAAUGUUGAAAAAUUAGCGGAUGACUUGUGGCUGGGGGUGAAAGGCCAAUCAAACCGGGAGAUAGCUGGUUCUCCCCGAAAGCUAUUUAGGUAGCGCCUCGUGAACUCAUCUCCGGGGGUAGAGCACUGUUUCGGCAAGGGGGUCAUCCCGACUUACCAACCCGAUGCAAACUGCGAAUACCGGAGAAUGUUAUCACGGGAGACACACGGCGGGUGCUAACGUCCGUCGUGAAGAGGGAAACAACCCAGACCGCCAGCUAAGGUCCCAAAGUCAUGGUUAAGUGGGAAACGAUGUGGGAAGGCCCAGACAGCCAGGAUGUUGGCUUAGAAGCAGCCAUCAUUUAAAGAAAGCGUAAUAGCUCACUGGUCGAGUCGGCCUGCGCGGAAGAUGUAACGGGGCUAAACCAUGCACCGAAGCUGCGGCAGCGACGCUGAUGCGUUGUUGGGUAGGGGAGCGUUCUGUAAGCCUGCGAAGGUGUGCUGUGAGGCAUGCUGGAGGUAUCAGAAGUGCGAAUGCUGACAUAAGUAACGAUAAAGCGGGUGAAAAGCCCGCUCGCCGGAAGACCAAGGGUUCCUGUCCAACGUUAAUCGGGGCAGGGUGAGUCGACCCCUAAGGCGAGGCCGAAAGGCGUAGUCGAUGGGAAACAGGUUAAUAUUCCUGUACUUGGUGUUACUGCGAAGGGGGGACGGAGAAGGCUAUGUUGGCCGGGCGACGGUUGUCCCGGUUUAAGCGUGUAGGCUGGUUUUCCAGGCAAAUCCGGAAAAUCAAGGCUGAGGCGUGAUGACGAGGCACUACGGUGCUGAAGCAACAAAUGCCCUGCUUCCAGGAAAAGCCUCUAAGCAUCAGGUAACAUCAAAUCGUACCCCAAACCGACACAGGUGGUCAGGUAGAGAAUACCAAGGCGCUUGAGAGAACUCGGGUGAAGGAACUAGGCAAAAUGGUGCCGUAACUUCGGGAGAAGGCACGCUGAUAUGUAGGUGAGGUCCCUCGCGGAUGGAGCUGAAAUCAGUCGAAGAUACCAGCUGGCUGCAACUGUUUAUUAAAAACACAGCACUGUGCAAACACGAAAGUGGACGUAUACGGUGUGACGCCUGCCCGGUGCCGGAAGGUUAAUUGAUGGGGUCAGCGCAAGCGAAGCUCUUGAUCGAAGCCCCGGUAAACGGCGGCCGUAACUAUAACGGUCCUAAGGUAGCGAAAUUCCUUGUCGGGUAAGUUCCGACCUGCACGAAUGGCGUAAUGAUGGCCAGGCUGUCUCCACCCGAGACUCAGUGAAAUUGAACUCGCUGUGAAGAUGCAGUGUACCCGCGGCAAGACGGAAAGACCCCGUGAACCUUUACUAUAGCUUGACACUGAACAUUGAGCCUUGAUGUGUAGGAUAGGUGGGAGGCUUGGAAGUGUGGACGCCAGUCUGCAUGGAGCCGACCUUGAAAUACCACCCUUUAAUGUUUGAUGUUCUAACGUUGACCCGUAAUCCGGGUUGCGGACAGUGUCUGGUGGGUAGUUUGACUGGGGCGGUCUCCUCCUAAAGAGUAACGGAGGAGCACGAAGGUUGGCUAAUCCUGGUCGGACAUCAGGAGGUUAGUGCAAUGGCAUAAGCCAGCUUGACUGCGAGCGUGACGGCGCGAGCAGGUGCGAAAGCAGGUCAUAGUGAUCCGGUGGUUCUGAAUGGAAGGGCCAUCGCUCAACGGAUAAAAGGUACUCCGGGGAUAACAGGCUGAUACCGCCCAAGAGUUCAUAUCGACGGCGGUGUUUGGCACCUCGAUGUCGGCUCAUCACAUCCUGGGGCUGAAGUAGGUCCCAAGGGUAUGGCUGUUCGCCAUUUAAAGUGGUACGCGAGCUGGGUUUAGAACGUCGUGAGACAGUUCGGUCCCUAUCUGCCGUGGGCGCUGGAGAACUGAGGGGGGCUGCUCCUAGUACGAGAGGACCGGAGUGGACGCAUCACUGGUGUUCGGGUUGUCAUGCCAAUGGCACUGCCCGGUAGCUAAAUGCGGAAGAGAUAAGUGCUGAAAGCAUCUAAGCACGAAACUUGCCCCGAGAUGAGUUCUCCCUGACCCUUUAAGGGUCCUGAAGGAACGUUGAAGACGACGACGUUGAUAGGCCGGGUGUGUAAGCGCAGCGAUGCGUUGAGCUAACCGGUACUAAUGAACCGUGAGGCUUAACCUU